This 293-nucleotide ribosomal RNA is filed under the name uncultured bacterium. RNAcentral's name for it is "partial 16S ribosomal RNA". It matches the Rfam family "Archaeal small subunit ribosomal RNA", at positions 455 to 747 of the family's 1478-position model. The record is from RNAcentral.
GUGCCAGCAGCCGCGGUAAUACCGGCAGCCCAAGUGAUGGCCGAUAUUAUUGGGCCUAAAGCGUCCGUAGCUGGCCGCGCAAGUCUCCCGGGAAAUCCACCCGCCCAACGGGUGGGCGUCUGAUGGAAACUGCACAGCUUGGGACCGGAAGGCUCGAAGGGUACGUUCGGGGUAGGAGUGAAAUCCCAUAAUCCCGCACGGACUACCGAUGGCGAAAGCACUUCGAGAAAACGGAUCCGACAGUGAGGGACGAAAGCCAGGGUCUCCAACCGGAUUAGAAACCCCUGUAGUCC